AAGUUCUCUGAUACACUUGGACUUUCUAUUUAUUACAGUCAGUGCAUCACAGAACUUUG
Molecule: microRNA precursor, 59 nt
Filed under: Callorhinchus milii (elephant shark)
Lineage: Eukaryota; Metazoa; Chordata; Chondrichthyes; Chimaeriformes; Callorhinchidae
Description: Cmi-Mir-148-P2_pre stem-loop
Source: RNAcentral